GUUUUAGCCCGAGAUUGGCCUCCAUGUGUGGUCUAAGAGCUGCCAGCAGCUUCUAGGGUCUCCUUGCCUCCUUGCUCACGUCCUGCCGGAGGAGACAGUACAACUCUCCGUGGUCGUCCCUUAGAGGCCUUCGAGAAGCGGUUCUCCAUCUCAUUGGCUUGGAUGGGAUCUCAGCCUCUGCCGUCAUCCCUGAACGGACCCUAGGGGCCAUGAGAGAUGGCGUACGCCAGUGCACGGAUCCGUAAGUAGCGGCGAGGCUUGCUGGGACCCUGAGGGGCCUCUGGGAUACUGUCCUUCACCUUGCCUGAGGGCUAAGAGAAGGGGAGAAGUCAGACAGCAGAGUGAAACGUGAGCGUUCAAAAUACUGUCUGUAUUCGUGAGUGCUCAGCUGGAGGAUGUCUUUCAUCAUACUCUCCCCUCAGUUAUCGGCUCUGCUGGACCAAGGCUGACUCUCUACUAAGUCCGGCCUCUGGGCUCUGGCUUCUCGAGGUCGUCCUCCACAUUUACCUACAUUAUGUAAUUUUACUAAGUCCCAUCUUUAGUCCUACUCAGAGGCAGAAACUCUCAGAGAGGGUAAUUCAUCCGAGGUAAGGAGGGACUGAGCAGCGAAGAGAGGGUUCAGACACGCAUCUCUGCACUCGGAAGCCGAGAGAGCCUGGGAGCCGCACGUCGUAGCCGUAGUGAUGAGUAGGUUUGAACUGGGCACGAAACGAAUCCCCUCUGCCUUCCAGAUGAAACGGGUGAGUUCACAGAGGUCCCUGGGAGAGGCGG
This is a long non-coding RNA of Mustela erminea (ermine), 771 nucleotides long. RefSeq lists it as uncharacterized. The transcript is spliced from 4 exons. NCBI's taxonomy places the organism in Eukaryota, Metazoa, Chordata, Mammalia, Carnivora, Mustelidae. The record is from RefSeq and is a predicted model, not a curated record.